This is a non-coding RNA of Labeo rohita (rohu), 625 nucleotides long. The record is from the annotation of a RefSeq genome assembly. Lineage: Eukaryota; Metazoa; Chordata; Actinopteri; Cypriniformes; Cyprinidae.
UCGACACACACACAAGAAACAAUGAUUUCUCUUAUACUAAUGCUGGGUACACUGGGUCUGCUUGCUCAAGUGUCUCAUGAAGAGGUUCAGUCUCCUGAGUCUCUGUCUGCUAAAACAGGAGAUUCUGUCUCUAUCAGCUGCACUGGGACCAGCGGAGUUGGUGAUGACAUGAGCUGGUAUCUGCUGAAACCUGGAGAAGCUCCUAAACUCCUGAUAUAUGGAGCCAGUGAACUUGAAUCUGGAGUCCCAGAUCGGUUCAGUGGAAGUGGAUCUGAACCUGAUUUCACACUGAACAUUCGUGGAGUCCAGCCUGAGGACGCAGGAGUUUAUUACUGUAUGGGGUAUUAUAGUGGUGGAGUGUGCACACAGUGAAACACCAUCGUACAAAAACCUCCCUCAGUCAGACAGCAAAGAGAAUAUGAGAAUAAUUUCAGGCAAGUUUCCCUGUAUAAUUAAACAACAGUUAAAGCAGUAAUGAAGAUUUUCUAAAGUAUUCAACAAUUUGUUCACUUAAAAUGUCAUUUUAGAUUUCAGUGAAAUAAAUGAAAUGUUGAGCAUAAUUUUGUACAGAAGCUUAUGCUUAAAGGCUGGAAUCAUAAGAGUUAUUAUCUGCAGCAUGAAAAUA